Molecule: ribosomal RNA, 546 nt
Filed under: uncultured bacterium
Lineage: Bacteria
Description: bacterial SSU rRNA
Rfam family: Bacterial small subunit ribosomal RNA
Source: RNAcentral
UGGGGAAUAUUGCGCAAUGGGGGGAACCCUGACGCAGCCAUGCCGCGUGAAUGAAGAAGGCCUUCGGGUUGUAAAGUUCUUUCGGUAUUGAGGAAGGUUGAUGUGUUAAUAGCACAUCAAAUUGACGUUAAAUACAGAAGAAGCACCGGCUAACUCCGUGCCAGCAGCCGCGGUAAUACGGAGGGUGCGAGCGUUAAUCGGAAUAACUGGGCGUAAAGGGCACGCAGGCGGUUAUUUAAGUGAGGUGUGAAAGCCCUGGGCUUAACCUAGGAAUUGCAUUUCAGACUGGGUAACUAGAGUACUUUAGGGAGGGGUAGAAUUCCACGUGUAGCGGUGAAAUGCGUAGAGAUGUGGAGGAAUACCGAAGGCGAAGGCAGCCCCUUGGGAAUGUACUGACGCUCAUGUGCGAAAGCGUGGGGAGCAAACAGGAUUAGAUAUCCUGGUAGUCCACGCUGUAAACGCUGUCGAUUUGGGGGUUGGGGUUUAACUCUGGCGCCCGUAGCUAACGUGAUAAAUCGACCGCCUGGGGAGUACGGCCGCAAGGUU